Molecule: non-coding RNA, 30 nt
Filed under: Mus musculus (house mouse)
Lineage: Eukaryota; Metazoa; Chordata; Mammalia; Rodentia; Muridae
Source: RNAcentral
GGCAAAACCAGACCUUCAUGAGGGUUGAAC